CCAGCCUCUGGACUCUGCCUGCACUUCCUGCUCCACCAGAUGACGCGCUGCCGCCGCCGCUAUUUAUUUGUGGUUUCCGUCCCUCUCGGCGCCUAAGCCCGCUGUUCUCCCGGUGUCCGGGGAAGGGGGCCUGGGAAGCCAGGGGGACUGUGGAGCGCUCCUUCCACUCCCCUCCAAAUUGUCCUUUGUUGCUCUGGAGCUGAUGGUCCCAGCCCUGUAAAAAGGCAGCUUUCAUGCAGCCUAAGCUGGAGCCAGCCCUUCAAGGGACAUCUGGCCCAUCACAACCUUGACCUAUCAGAGUGGAGCUUCCUGUUUUCCCAGAGUUCUUCUCAUCAAAGGCAACAUCUACUUGUUGGACAAAAA
Molecule: long non-coding RNA, 363 nt
Organism: Myotis daubentonii (Daubenton's bat)
Lineage: Eukaryota; Metazoa; Chordata; Mammalia; Chiroptera; Vespertilionidae
Source: RefSeq, a predicted model, not a curated record